Molecule: ribosomal RNA, 470 nt
Filed under: uncultured bacterium
Lineage: Bacteria
Description: bacterial SSU rRNA
Rfam family: Bacterial small subunit ribosomal RNA
Source: RNAcentral
GAGUUUGAUCAUGGCUCAGAACGAACGCUGGCGGCAGGCCUAACACAGCAAGUCGAGCGAUCCCUUCGGGGAUAGCGGCGGACGGGUGAGUAACGCGUGGGAACGUGCCCUUCAGUGCGGGAUAGCCCCGGGAAACUGGGAUUAAUACCGCAUGCGCCCUUCGGGGGAAAGAUUUAUCGCUGAAGGAUCGGCCCGCGUUGGAUUAGGUAGUUGGUGGGGUAAUGGCCUACCAAGCCGACGAUCCAUAGCUGGUUUGAGAGGAUGAUCAGCCACACUGGGACUGAGACACGGCCCAGACUCCUACGGGAGGCAGCAGUGGGGAAUCAUAGACAAUGGGGGAAACCCUGAUCUUGCCAUGCCGCGUGAGCGAUGAAGGCCUUAGGGUUGUAAAGCUCUUUCACUCGUGAAGAUAAUGACGGUAGCGGGAGAAGAAGCCCCGGCUAACUCCGUGCCAGCAGCCGCGGUAAUAC